Molecule: ribosomal RNA, 253 nt
Filed under: uncultured bacterium
Lineage: Bacteria
Description: partial 16S ribosomal RNA
Rfam family: Bacterial small subunit ribosomal RNA
Source: RNAcentral
UACGUAGGUGGCAAGCGUUGUCCGGAUUUACUGGGCGUAAAGAGCGCGCAGGCGGUCGUUCAAGUCGCGUGUGAAAGCCCCCGGCUCAACUGGGGAGGGUCACGCGAUACUGAUCGACUCGAAGGCAGGAGAGGGAAGUGGAAUUCCCGGUGUAGUGGUGAAAUGCGUAGAUAUCGGGAGGAACACCAGUGGCGAAGGCGGCUCACUGGCCCGAUACUGACGCUGAGGCGCGAAAGCGUGGGGAGCAAACAGG